UGGUGCGGUGUUUAAACAUAGCCACUGGGGAGACAAAGGCGGCCGGGCGUGAUGCUGGCCACCCACGCCUGAGUGUGCCGUUCCGGCCUUCAUUGGUGCCACUCACUCGCAGCACUUGCCCCACAAUAGUCUUAAGGCGACACGGGGUGUCUUUGUUUGGGAAUCACAUUAGCCGUUACAAUUCUUUGUGUGACCAAUAUCGGAUAAUUAUUGCAAUACCCAUUUAAAAUUAAUGGAGCUAUCGUGUAAUUCGCAAUUCUAGGUAUGUAAAUCAAAUCGGGCUCUGCUCAAUGGACUAAAGAUGCAAAGCCUCUUAAUUAACGGAGGGCAUGACAGAAUGAUUCAACUGGAUUAAUUGACUGGCCAAUUGAUCUGUCAUGUCUAACGUCGAGGUUUUCUGUGCGUGUGGGAACUCACUGAAAAUAGUCAAAAAUUAAUCUGUCCCAGGAAACAUUUUAACAAUUUAUUUGGUAGCCAGUCAUUCAUCCUUUGGUGACCGAAUUUUAAAUGUCAAUAAAAAGCCGUGUUCAGAUUAUGAAUAUAUAAUACAUUGUCUCAAACAUCAAGUUUUAUUUUGCUAACCUUACUAAGUAUUAUAGUUUUUCUUGCAACGCCAUAACCUAAUAUCAAUGUGUUCUACUGAGAAUUACUAAACUUAACUGUGAAAGUUCUUGUCCGUAAAUUUUAAUCAGAAUAUGAAAAUAAAAAUAUUGCAGUGUUAUCGUCAACCAAUUAUUCUAUAUAUAACAAAAAUAAUCGUAUCCUGUGACGGCGUCGCCAAUUUUAUUUUUGGCCGAUUUUUAUCCUAGCUUAAACUCGCUCUGAUCUUUGUGUCACCAAUGACAAGUGUUUAUCAUGUGCAGCAUUGAAGGCAGUUUCAUUAAUUUUCACUGUCCCAAAUGCUUUUUUAAAAAGUGCAUAUUCCAGUCCCAAAAUUUCCCAUUUUCAUGAAUAAAAUAACGGAAGACUGUAAUCAAAAAUGACAGAUCUUCGCAGACAUUCAUACAGCGCGUCCGGACCCGAGUGUUUUCAGCGUUCUUCCUCAUUACGGAAGCUUCAAACUCGUGUGUUUGGACAGCGCAGGGGACAGGCAGCGUAGGUGUGUGACUACCACAGAUGAAUGUGGUUUUUUCUGUCGUCCUGUUAAACAUCAGAAGAGGGGGGGAGACAGUGCCAGUAAAACGACGCUGCCAAUAACCAUCGUGGUGCCCUCCCAGCUUGACGACAGAUCCAAUCCUGCUGCAGUAGCCACCAAGUGCGUUUUGCUCAGAUCCUACCAAGGCAUUGCCCACCUGCCGUCUUCUGAAUGAAAGUGGUGUGCGGAGCCUUUUCAAGAACGCGCAAAGUCAUCACUCCACGUAAAAGUUUGCUACUGUGUGUGGCGGCGGCGGCGGCGUAGCUACCCAGUUCGCUAACGUGAUCCUUGCCUGUGGGGGUAUAUGACAAACGCCGUCAAUCGCCGUUCUGAUGCAACGCGUCUCUCGCGUUUUCCUUGAAGGAAAAGUGACGAGCAUAAAAAAUACGACUCCUCAAUGGAAAUGUUGACACACUCGCACGCGUGAAAUUGUGAGGUGUAAAGGACUGGUUGGUUCCCCAUUUUAUCCCACUAAACGUGCUCCAGGACUGUAAACUAAUUAUUUUGUGAUGCUCAUGCUUUAGCAGUGUGGUGCACAAAAACACGAAAUAUGUUCCGUGUCAAUAACACCGUGGCCUUCAAAGUGAAAUAUACAAUAACACAUACAUCAUUGAUAUAAAUUAUGGAUUUAAAGCGAUGAUUUGUGCUAUGAAAGGCCUGUAAUGUCACCUGUAAUAUAUAUUUUUUUAAAGCCACCGUGUUAUUGAGGAAUGUGUACUCUAUGAACUCAUACCCCAAUUCUGCAAAGCACUGCAGCAUGCAUGCCUUGCGGCCCCCACAUCGCAUGUACAAUGCUCUCAGCCAUGUCCAGACCACCAGCUUAAGAGCUAGAAUGUAUUAUUUAGGCCACUAUGCAGAAAAAAAUGUAAUUAUGACCCUAAACUGUAAAAGGUCAAUGAAUCAUGAAGGGUGUUGGAUCAUUUUAAAUAAUGAAGAUAACAUUUUUUAAUUUGCGGCAAGUUGACAUAAAACCACUUCAAUUCCACUCCAAAAAAGCCACAACUUCUGACGUAACGAAAAUAAACUCGCACUCAAUAGCACUGCGGCCUUGAGAAACGUACACAGGAGGUGACAUUUCAGGCAAUGGCCCUUAACAUACUACCGACCUCUUGCCUACGUGUUGCGCUGUAACGCGUUGUUCUUUCAAGGCCACGGUGGUAUUGACAAGCGUUUGAUUGUUUUGUGAUUUUUCGCGCUAUUGCCAUCGCUGCGGUACUGGCUGCGGCAGCGUCGCCACCCAGAUAAUUUGUUUUUACUCCGGAAGGACGUAAUUCUGAAGCAAACCCAAGUUUUAAAUCUACGUCGUCGAUAAGAACCGUCUUUUUGGCGACUUGAGAUGUCGGUGGCACGCACUGUGAUCCAUGUCCGCCGUUUAUAUGGUUGUGAAUUUUUGUUAAUUCUCUCCACCUCCCCUCCCCCCAAAAUAACUGCUGUCAGAGGAUCUGUGUUUGUAGACUUAUUGCCAAGCCAUUCUCUGCGCACAAUUUCUCGCACCUCUCAGUCACGGCGCCAAUAAUGCAGCAGCAUCUGAGUGGUGAAACAAUAACGUUUGUUUUUUUCAUCUCCUGCGACUCCGCUCGUUUCAACCCGCCCUGCAAUAAUGAUGAUUCCUGUAGCCUUGUAGAGUUUCACGAGUUUCUGACGCACAUUCAAAAACGUGGCCAAAUGAAUGUUUUUUAUUCAACCAAAAUGGCCUCGCCGAGUCUAUCUCUGAAGGGGGGGGGGUCCUGGUUUGGCAAUCUUGUGGCCACUUAUUUGAACACGACUAAGGGGAAAAAAUCAAAUCGGUACCCAGAGAACCCAUCACAUAUGGGUGGAUAUAACACUGAAACUCAAACAAUGGAUUUCUAAGAUUCCUCGAUGUGCUUCCUCCAGGCAGCUUGAGACGAGUUGUUAAACCACCACUGCUGGUGUAGGCUUAUUUGGUUGUGCCGCUGUACAGCUCCCCCCCCCCCUUUUUUUGGGGGGGGGGGGGGUCGUGCUGCUACGUGUUUGUUAGGCACAACGUCCGACGUUUCGCUCCAUGUGCUGGGAGCUUCUUCAUGAACAUGCUGUUCAGGAACUGAAGACGCUUCCACCGCUCGCAGCGAAACGUCGGACAUCGUGUGUUGGGCAACAAACGGCGGCACAACCCGAACGCGCGUUUUAACUUCCCACGUGGCCACAGGCCUCCAUCACAGAGAGACGCCAAACUUCAAUGGGGCCCCUCACUGUUAAAUAUCAGCGGCGGCCUUUCUCUUGGUUAAAUAAAGACCGUCCACGUGGCAUACGCCACACACACACACGUAUGCACAAGCACACUACUAUAUAACAAGGUGCCAUCAACUUGUUUUGUUUUGCUUCUGCCUUGGUAAGAACGUGUAUUGUUCACAGCUAAUGGGGAUCCCUAUCAGCUGAACCGCAAUGUGAGUGAGACAACCACUAUCCCACCCAUCGCCCUCACGCCCGUGCACGAUGCAGUUACAUUCUGGGUUUGUUCCGUGUGCAAGGGGGGGGGAACUCCCUCCUCUUAACCAACCCCCUCCACCCAACACUGCUUUGCCCAUGGAUGGUGCUUUUAUUCAAAUUAGCGCACGACGAGAUUUAACGAAAAAUAAUAAUAAAAACAAAUAUUCCAGCACCGCAA
Petromyzon marinus (sea lamprey) is the source of this 3761-nucleotide non-coding RNA. The record is from RefSeq and is a predicted model, not a curated record. Lineage: Eukaryota; Metazoa; Chordata; Hyperoartia; Petromyzontiformes; Petromyzontidae.